This 253-nucleotide ribosomal RNA is filed under the name uncultured bacterium. RNAcentral describes it as "partial 16S ribosomal RNA". It matches the Rfam family "Bacterial small subunit ribosomal RNA", at positions 524 to 776 of the family's 1533-position model. The record is from RNAcentral.
UACGAAGGGGGCUAGCGUUGCUCGGAAUCACUGGGCGUAAAGGGUGCGUAGGCGGGUCUUUAAGUCAGGGGUGAAAUCCUGGAGCUCAACUCCAGAACUGCCUUUGAUACUGAAGAUCUUGAGUCCGGGAGAGGUGAGUGCAACUGCGAGUGUAGAGGUGAAAUUCGUAGAUAUUCGCAAGAACACCAGUGGCGAAGGCGGCUCACUGGCCCGGUACUGACGCUGAGGCACGAAAGCGUGGGGAGCAAACAGG